RNAcentral lists this ribosomal RNA (397 nucleotides) under uncultured bacterium. Its description in RNAcentral is "partial 16S ribosomal RNA". It matches the Rfam family "Bacterial small subunit ribosomal RNA", at positions 523 to 918 of the family's 1533-position model. The record is from RNAcentral.
AUACGUAGGUGACAAGCGUUAUCCGGAUUUACUGGGCGUAAAGGGCGUGUAGGCGGUCUUGCAAGUCAGAAGUGAAAUUCCUGAGCUCAACUCGGGCGCUGCUUCUGAAACUGCAGGACUUGAGUGCUGGAGGGGAUGGCGGAAUUCCUAGUGGAGCGGUAAAAUGCGCAGAGAUUAGGAAGAACACCGGUGGCGAAGGCGGCUUACUGGACAGUAACAGACGCUGAGGUGCGAAAGCGUGGGGAACAAACAGGGUUAGAUACCCUGGUGGUCCACGCCGUAAACGAUGAAUACUAGGUGUAGUGGGUAUCGACUCCCUCUGUGCCGCAGUUAACACAAUAAGUAUUCCGCCUGGGGAGUGCGGCCGCAAGGUUGAAACUCAAAGGAAUUGACGGGG